This 468-nucleotide ribosomal RNA is filed under the name uncultured bacterium. RNAcentral's name for it is "partial 16S ribosomal RNA". It matches the Rfam family "Bacterial small subunit ribosomal RNA", at positions 28 to 507 of the family's 1533-position model. The record is from RNAcentral.
GACGAACGCUGGCGGCGUGCUUAACACAUGCAAGUCGAACGGAAAGGCCCUGCUUUUGUGGGGUGCUCGAGUGGCGAACGGGUGAGUAACACGUGAGUAACCUGCCCUUGACUUUGGGAUAACUUCAGGAAACUGGGGCUAAUACCGGAUAGGAGCUCCUGCUGCAUGGUGGGGGUUGGAAAGUUUCGGCGGUUGGGGAUGGACUCGCGGCUUAUCAGCUUGUUGGUGGGGUAGUGGCUUACCAAGGCUUUGACGGGUAGCCGGCCUGAGAGGGUGACCGGCCACAUUGGGACUGAGAUACGGCCCAGACUCCUACGGGAGGCAGCAGGGGGGAAUAUUGCACAAUGGGCGGAAGCCUGAUGCAGCAACGCCGCGUGCGGGAUGACGGCCUUCGGGUUGUAAACCGCUUUCGCCUGUGACGAAGCGUGAGUGACGGUAAUGGGUAAAGAAGCACCGGCUAACUAAGUG